RNAcentral lists this ribosomal RNA (429 nucleotides) under Chloroflexota bacterium. Its description in RNAcentral is "Chloroflexi bacterium partial 16S ribosomal RNA". It matches the Rfam family "Bacterial small subunit ribosomal RNA", at positions 355 to 776 of the family's 1533-position model. Lineage: Bacteria; Bacillati; Chloroflexota. The record is from RNAcentral.
UGGGGAAUAUUGCACAAUGGGCGCAAGCCUGAUGCAGCCAUGCCGCGUGUAUGAAGAAGGCCUUCGGGUUGUAAAGUACUUUCAGUCGGGAGGAAGGUGUCAAGGUUAAUAACCUUGGCAAUUGACGUUACCGACAGAAGAAGCACCGGCUAACUCCGUGCCAGCAGCCGCGGUAAUACGGAGGGUGCAAGCGUUAAUCGGAAUUACUGGGCGUAAAGCGCACGCAGGCGGUUGUUUGAGUCAGAUGUGAAAUCCCCGGGCUUAACCCGGGAAUUGCAUCUGAUACUGGUCAGCUAGAGUCUUGUAGAGGGGGGUAGAAUUCCAUGUGUAGCGGUGAAAUGCGUAGAGAUGUGGAGGAAUACCGGUGGCGAAGGCGGCCCCCUGGACAAAGACUGACGCUCAGGUGCGAAAGCGUGGGGAGCAAACAGG